CCUACGGGAGGCAGCAGUGGGGAAUAUUGCUCAAUGGGGGAAACCCUGAUGCAGCGACGCCGCGUGAAGGAGGAAGGAUUACGGUAUGUUAAAUUCUAUCAGCAGGGAAAAAAAUGACGGUACCUGUCCAAGAAUCCCCGGCUAACUACGGGCCAACCGCCGUGGUAAUACGUAGGGGGCAAGCGUGAUCCGGAUUUACGGGGUGUAAAGGGAGCGUAGGCGGUGCAGUAAGUGCGAAGGGAAAGCCCUGGGUCCAAACCCGGGACUGCUUUUGAAACUGUUGAACUAGAUUGCAGGAGAGGUAAGUGGAAUUCCUAGUGUAGCGGUGAAAUGCGUAGAUAUUAGGAGGAACACCAGUGGCGAAGGCGGCUUACUGGACUGUAAAUGACGCUGAGGCUCGAAAGCGUGGGGAGCAAACAGGAUUAGAUACCCUGGUAGUC
Molecule: ribosomal RNA, 440 nt
Filed under: uncultured bacterium
Lineage: Bacteria
Description: partial 16S ribosomal RNA
Rfam family: Bacterial small subunit ribosomal RNA
Source: RNAcentral